UACGUAGGUGGCAAGCGUUGUCCGGAUUUACUGGGCGUAAAGGGCGCGUAGGCGGCGUGUUAAGUCAGCUGUGAAAUCUCCAAGCUUAACUUGGAACGGUCAGCUGAUACUGAUGUGCUAGAGUGCAGAAGGGGCAAUCGGAAUUCUUGGUGUAGCGGUGAAAUGCGUAGAUAUCAAGAGGAACACCUGAGGUGAAGACGGGUUGCUGGGCUGACACUGACGCUGAGGCGCGAAAGCUAGGGUAGCAAACGGG
Molecule: ribosomal RNA, 253 nt
Filed under: uncultured bacterium
Lineage: Bacteria
Description: partial 16S ribosomal RNA
Rfam family: Bacterial small subunit ribosomal RNA
Source: RNAcentral